This is a long non-coding RNA of Brachypodium distachyon (stiff brome), 1573 nucleotides long. RefSeq lists it as uncharacterized. The transcript is spliced from 2 exons. NCBI's taxonomy places the organism in Eukaryota, Viridiplantae, Streptophyta, Magnoliopsida, Poales, Poaceae. The record is from RefSeq and is a predicted model, not a curated record.
GCACAAUAAAAAAAUGUAUUACAUGGCCCCACCAUACCAACCGAUAACGGUUGCUUUCAUGCCCAGCUACUAGUAUUGGCCAAUUUCACCACGGCAAUUCCUUCACCGAUCAAGACACAUUAAAAAAUAUGACCGUUGGUUGUUUACAGCACAUUUUUUCUGCCCAAAUAAAAAAAAUACAAUAUUAUUCAUGACCGUCGUAUCAAUGUACAAUAUAAAACCCAAACUGGAGCACUCCUCUUCUUCAACAUCGCCAAAAGAUCUGCUUGCUAGCCAUGGAGCACUCUUCCUCCUCUAGUUUCACCAACAUGCUCACCUCCAACUUGGGCGCAGAAUCACAAAAUCCAAACAACGAGCACCACCAAAAUUACCCACCAUCAGAAGAUCCAAACAACCAACACCAAUAUUACCCAACAUCUUAUUUUCCCAUGAAUCAUCCACACCAACAGUUUAACCCAAGUUUUCGCCCUUUGUACCCACCACCCUACAACCCAUAUGGAGCUCAAUCAAUCUUUCAUCAAGUGCCAUCAACACCAAAUUAUCAAGGUUGUUACCAAGGUAACGUGGGUCAAUACCCACAGGGAGUGUAUGGAUCUCCUGCUGCAUCAAUGGGCUUCUUUGGAGCUCCUAAAGGAAGUAGUCCAAUGGGAUCACCAUCUCCCAUGUCCAUGUCACAAGAAUUCUAAUGAUCCAAUUGAUGGCAAUAGCAAGAAAGCGGAGAGCUAUUGGAAGCAAGUUGUAGCAGAUUACAACAAGAAUUCAACAGAAAAGGAGAGAAGAACAGCUGCACAAUUGAAAACUCACUGGGCCACAAACAGCCAACUAGUUUCAAAGUUCAAUGGAUGUUGGAAUGUUUAGAAGAACACAUAUUCUAGUGGAUAGAGUGAUGAUCAACUUAUGGAUCGUACGCGUGCAGCCUACAUGAAACUUAUGAAAACUAAGAGGCCUUUUGCAUUAGAACAUUGGUGGAAAGCUGUGAAAGACCAGAACAAAUGGAAAAGAGUUUUUGGGCGUGAAGAGAUGAACAAAAGAAACAAGUUAAAUGCCUCAGGAGCUUACUCUCCUCCAAAUGAAGACCACGAUGAUGAUCCUGUAGAAAUUCCCCAACCGCAAGGACAAAAUUCAGCCAAGGCGCAGAGGAAGGGAAAAGAUAAAUCAACCUCGCAAUCUUCUGAAUGACAGUGUGCAACUAUUCAAUGAUCUUCAGCUUCGAAAAUCCAUUGCAGCUGAAAAAAUGGCAGAAGCAACGUUUAUUCAAGCAGAAGCUGAAAGAGAUCGAGCGGUAGCUGAAAAAGAGAGAGCUGGAGCAGAAAUGAGAGAGGACAAAUAAUGAAAAACUGAGCAAAUACAUGGAGUGAUAAAGACUCUUCACACUACACUGAAGCUCAAAAGGCUCGACAUGAACGCUUGCUUGAUCACUUAGCUAAGGAUUUGGCCAUUGGAGAUAAUUAGGAAAAACAUUGUAUCUUUCCUACCUGUAUGACUUAGUGUACUACUUUUUAUGUCUUGUAGUUUAAGUGUAACAUAGGUAGCAUGAAGUUGUUCUAUAGCAUGAAUAAAUUGUAACUUCUGA